Nycticebus coucang (slow loris) is the source of this 860-nucleotide long non-coding RNA. RefSeq lists it as uncharacterized. The record is from RefSeq and is a predicted model, not a curated record. Lineage: Eukaryota; Metazoa; Chordata; Mammalia; Primates; Lorisidae. The transcript is spliced from 5 exons.
GAGCCCUUGCUUGGCUGGUCCAAGUGAGCCAGCCUUGAGUUAGCAGACAGCGCCAAGGCUCACCAGCCAGCUGCUAAAUCCCAAAGGGGCCCAGGGACGGGUAUUACUAUCGCUCUUCUCCCUGGCUGACUGUGUUCUCCCAUUCUUCAAGAUCACCAUCUCCUUUUGGAGGCCUUCAAAGACAUGCUGGAUAUGAUGAUCCCCCUAAGGCUAUGCUCCUGUGAACAUUCGCCACAAAGAAAAGGAAGGAAGAAGAAACAGCACAACCCCCAUCUGUACGAUAUCUAUUCAAACAGAGUUUGGAACAAGAAAACAGUGUAUUCCUAAAUGGCGGUUCCUCAGACGUCUAUUUCCUUAGCUAAAGAAUCCUGAAGGGGAAGAAGGCUGAGUCACUGCAACCCUCCCUCAGACUGCCAGAUGUCAUUGUCCCUCAAAUGUUGUUGGGGGCUGAAGUCUAUGGACGUUAAAGCCUCAGGUUCUGGAAUUAGAAACACCUGCCCUGGCUCCUGGCUUGACUACUCUGUGGUUUGGAAAUGCGUCUGGCCUGAGUUUCUUCGUGGUGAAAGAGAAGCACAUUUGCACUUGCCAUGCAGAGCUUUUGUGUGGAUUUCCUGUGAAAAUGUAUCCAACACACUGCAAAGGAGAAAGUGGGACAUUUUUGGCCGGGGCUGGGUUUGAAUCCGCCACCUCCAGCAUAUGGGGCCACCUGCGGCCUACUCCUUUGAGCCACAGGCGCCGCCCCAGACCUCAGAAUGUUGCUUGUAACUAGCAGUGAUACUUCUGCCCAGACACCACGUGCAAAUACCAUGAAGAGAAGAUGCAAGAAACAGCGGGUGGCCGCACACACUUGUCUCCUUGAA